This 468-nucleotide ribosomal RNA is filed under the name uncultured bacterium. RNAcentral describes it as "partial 16S ribosomal RNA". It matches the Rfam family "Bacterial small subunit ribosomal RNA", at positions 28 to 507 of the family's 1533-position model. The record is from RNAcentral.
GACGAACGCUGGCGGCGUGCUUAACACAUGCAAGUCGAACGGAAAGGCCCUGCUUUUGUGGGGUGCUCGAGUGGCGAACGGGUGAGUAACACGUGAGUAACCUGCCCUUGACUUUGGGAUAACUUCAGGAAACUGGGGCUAAUACCGGAUAGGAGCUCCUGCUGCAUGGUGGGGGUUGGAAAGUUUCGGCGGUUGGGGAUGGACUCGCGGCUUAUCAGCUUGUUGGUGGGGUAGUGGCUUACCAAGGCUUUGACGGGUAGCCGGCCUGAGAGGGUGACCGGCCACAUGGGGAAUGAGAUACGGCCCAGACUCCUGCGGGAGGCAGCAGUGGGGAAUGUUGCAGAAUGGGCGGAAGCCUGAUGCAGCAACGCCGCGUGGGGGAUGACGGCCUUCGGGUUGUAAACCGCUUUCGCCUGGGACGAAGCGUGAGUGACGGUAAUGGGUAAAGAAGCACCGGCUCACUACGUG